AACGCACAUUGCGCCCGCUGGAACUCCGGCGGGCAUGCCUGUCCGAGCGUCAUUUCAACCCUCAGGUCCCCCUUCCGGGGGCGGACCUGGUGUUGGGGCCCGGCCGUCUCACGGCGGCCGACCCCUAAAUGCAGUGGCGGUCUCGCCGCAAUCCCUUGCGUAGUAAUUACACCUCGCACCGGAGAGCGACGCGGCCACGCCGUUAAACCCCCAAUUUUCAAUGGUUGACCUCGGAUCAGGUAGGAAUACCCGCUGAACUUAA
Molecule: unclassified non-coding RNA, 262 nt
Filed under: uncultured Hypocreales
Lineage: Eukaryota; Fungi; Ascomycota; Sordariomycetes; Hypocreales
Description: sequence contains ITS2
Source: RNAcentral